RNAcentral lists this transfer RNA (81 nucleotides) under Pseudozyma flocculosa. It matches the Rfam family "tRNA". Rfam says of the family: Transfer RNA (tRNA) molecules are approximately 80 nucleotides in length. Their secondary structure includes four short double-helical elements and three loops (D, anti-codon, and T loops). RNAcentral also lists the same sequence under 1 other name. Lineage: Eukaryota; Fungi; Basidiomycota; Ustilaginomycetes; Ustilaginales; Ustilaginaceae. The record is from Rfam by way of RNAcentral.
GCGGCGGAGGCUUAGUGGCUUAGCAUAGGAUUGCAAAAUGCAUCCAUCCUGGGGUCCCGAGUUCGAUUCUCGGUCGCCGCU